Molecule: ribosomal RNA, 497 nt
Filed under: uncultured bacterium
Lineage: Bacteria
Description: partial 16S ribosomal RNA
Rfam family: Bacterial small subunit ribosomal RNA
Source: RNAcentral
GAUGAACGCUGGCGGCGUGCCUAAUACAUGCAAGUCGAGCGAACAGACGAGGAGCUUGCUCCUCUGACGUUAGCGGCGGACGGGUGAGUAACACGUGGAUAACCUACCUAUAAGACUGGGAUAACUUCGGGAAACCGGAGCUAAUACCGGAUAAUAUAUUGAACCGCAUGGUUCAAUAGUGAAAGACGGUUUUGCUGUCACUUAUAGAUGGAUCCGCGCCGCAUUAGCUAGUUGGUAAGGUAACGGCUUACCAAGGCAACGAUGCGUAGCCGACCUGAGAGGGUGAUCGGCCACACUGGAACUGAGACACGGUCCACACUCCUACGGGAGGCAGCAGUAGGGAAUCUUCCGCCAUGGGCGAAAGCCUGACGGAGCACCGCCGCGUGAGUGAUGAAGGUCUUCGGAUCGUAAAACUCUGUUAUUAGGGAAGAACAAAUGUGUAAGUAACUAUGCACGUCUUGACGGUACCUAAUCAGAACGCCACGGCUAACUACGUG